GGGCCCGUAGUCUAGUCGGUUAGGACGCCGCCCUUACACGGCGGAGGUCGCCGGUUCAAAUCCGGCCGGGCCCACCA
RNAcentral lists this transfer RNA (77 nucleotides) under Hestiella acidicharens (SeqCode). Its description in RNAcentral is "Candidatus Hestiella acidicharens tRNA-Val". It matches the Rfam family "tRNA". Rfam says of the family: Transfer RNA (tRNA) molecules are approximately 80 nucleotides in length. Their secondary structure includes four short double-helical elements and three loops (D, anti-codon, and T loops). The record is from RNAcentral. Lineage: Archaea; Thermoproteati; Thermoproteota; Thermoprotei; Acidilobales; Acidilobaceae. RNAcentral also lists the same sequence under 1 other name.